This is an RNA transcript of Patella vulgata (common limpet), 518 nucleotides long. RefSeq lists it as uncharacterized. The transcript is spliced from 3 exons. The record is from RefSeq and is a predicted model, not a curated record. Lineage: Eukaryota; Metazoa; Mollusca; Gastropoda; Patellidae.
CUUUUAAACAACAAUUAUUAUCAUUACAGCGAUUGAUGGUGGUUGGAGUGUUUGGACAAACAGUUCAUGUUCUGUUUCAUGUGGUGAAGGAAUUAUGUACAGAACCAGACAAUGCAACAAUCCAACACCAUCUAAUGGUGGAGCUAGUUGCAAUGGUGACUUUACCAACAGUGUCAACUGUACUCAACCAUCCUGUUCUGUUGCUGGUCACCGGUUUGCUUCAUACAGUAAAUCUGAUGUCGUCGUUAAUACUUGUGAUCCUAGUACAUUUCUAGAAACCAUUUUUGUUUCACGGGAAAUGGAUUGUCCUAGAGCGUGUACAGAGAAAGUAAAUUGUAAAAGAUAUCUUUAUUGUGAACUGGAUUCAUCCUGUAAAUUAUAUCAAGAUGGUAGAGAUUGUGUUAUGUCUGAUGACACAACUGGUUGUUCCUGUUUCACAAAGACUAUAGGAUGUGAUAGGUCCGAUUGUACUUGUCCUUUAGGUUACUAUGGAGACCGUUGUCAAUAUACCAUUAUAG